RNAcentral lists this long non-coding RNA (1104 nucleotides) under Nicotiana benthamiana. Its description in RNAcentral is "long non-coding RNA (NBEN_LNC037191)". The record is from RNAcentral. Lineage: Eukaryota; Viridiplantae; Streptophyta; Magnoliopsida; Solanales; Solanaceae.
UCUGAGUUACUUGUGUACUAACUUUGUCCUUGCUGUGGUUCUUGUGAUUUUUCUUCAGCCAAUUAGAUGUCUUGUGAUUUUUUAGCCUAAUAUGCCUCUACUAAUUUUCUUGGUUCAACUUUUCUACUAAUUUUAUAUGUCUAUGCUCAUCCUGGAUAUUCAUGGUAAACCUACAUAUAGUUUGUUAAAACCUCUGUGUUGAAUCCCGACUACUCUUUUCUUGCCUAUUUGAAUUGUCUGCGAUAUCUGCUGACUCUUUACAUAAUUUUCUCUUUUGAUUAAACCCUUGACUAUUCUGAAGUUCUUAUUUUUGGUUUGAUUUGAACUCUUCUCCUUAACAAAACCUUUGCUUUUUACUUCUCUACUCGGGUUGAUUGAACUUCUUGCCUUAAUUAGUUUUCUCUUGCCUUAUUUGAAUCAUUGAUGUUAUUUGUUGUUUCUUACUAAUUGUUUCCUUAUUUGAAUCAUUGAUGGUAAUUAGGUAAUUCACCCCUAAUUACCUAAUAUGUACCCAAGUCUUACUUGAUUUUCUUCCUUAUAUAUCAGUCCUGCUUUUACCGUGAUUGAUUAUCCCUUGAUUAAGGGGAAGACUUUACUGAUUUCAUGUGUGUGACCGAUUCUGUGAAUUUUCCUAAUUGCUACAUGAUUUAUUCUUUACCGUAUUUUGUUUAACUUUUGAUUACUAUAUAUGUCGUUACCCAUUGUCACUUCAAAAGCACGAAAAACAGUUCAAAAACUACCACUUUUACACUCUAAAAAAAGGCUCUCUCUGCUCUCUUUGCUACUUGUGAUCUCUGUUAUUCUAGCCAACUGCAAGCCAAGGCUGGAAAUUUCACAUCAUCUUUCUCACAUCUUGUAUUUUCUUUAACUAAGUGUGCUUCUGAUUAACUGUAUUAGACCUAUGUGUUUAUUUACUGUAUUAGUUCAUAUGGCCUAAGUCCAUCCUUGCUUCUGUUUACUGCUUGCCCAUCAUGAAAAUUACUGUCUAUUCAAAGCUUACGACACACCGGAAUGGCCCUUCUUGCAGCAGAUUCUAAUAGCUUAUAGAUUCCCAGCCAAAUUUAUUGACUGGAUUAUGGCAUGUACCUCUACUGUAUCCUUUUC